AAUCAACGCUGGCGGCGUGCCUCAGACAUGCAAGUCGAACGCGAAAGUCCCCUUCGGGGGGACAAGUAGAGUGGCGCACGGGUGAGUAACACGUAGGUAAUCUACCUUCGGAUGGGGAAUAACAACCGGAAACGGUUGCUAAUACCGCAUAAUGCAGCGGCACCUAAUGGUGACAGUUGUUAAAGCGGGGGAUCGUAAGACCUCGCGUCUGAAGAGGAGCCUGCGGCGGAUUAGCUAGNGGUAAGGUAAUGGCUUACCAAGGCGACGAUCCGUAACCGGCCUGAGAGGGCGGUCGGUCACACUGACACUGACAUACGGGUCAGACUCCUACGGGAGCAGCAGUCGGGAAUUUUGGGCAAUGGGCGAAAGCCUGACCCAGCAACGCCGCGUGAAGGAUGAAAUCCCUCGGGAUGUAAACUUCGCAAGAACGGGAAGAAUAAGUAGGGGACAAUACCCCCUACGAUGACGGUACCGUUUGUAAGCUCCGGCUAACUCCGUGCCAGCAGCCGCCGC
Molecule: ribosomal RNA, 513 nt
Filed under: uncultured bacterium
Lineage: Bacteria
Description: bacterial SSU rRNA
Rfam family: Bacterial small subunit ribosomal RNA
Source: RNAcentral